UACGGAGGGUGCGAGCGUUGUUCGGAAUCACUGGGCGUAAAGGGCGUGUAGGCGGUCCGCUAAGUCUGAUGUGAAAGCCCGGGGCUCACCCCCGGAAGUGCACUUGAAACUGCCAGGCUAGAGUACUGGAGAGGUUGGUGGAAUUCUCGGUGUAGAGGUGAAAUUCGUAGAUAUCGAGAGGAACACCGGUGGCGAAGGCGGCCAACUGGACAGAUACUGACGCUGAGACUCGAAAGCGUGGGGAGCAAACAGG
This 253-nucleotide ribosomal RNA is filed under the name uncultured bacterium. Its description in RNAcentral is "partial 16S ribosomal RNA". It matches the Rfam family "Bacterial small subunit ribosomal RNA", at positions 524 to 776 of the family's 1533-position model. The record is from RNAcentral.